GUGGUUGUCGUUUGUUUAUGUGUUACAUAUUUGUUUUUCGUUCAUUUUUUUUUUUUUUUUUUUUAAAUAAGGCCGUUAGUUUUCUCGUUUGAAUUGUUUUACAUUGUCUUAUCGGGGCCUUUUAUAGCUGACUAUGCGGUAUGGGCUUUGGUCAUUGUUGAAGGCCGUACAGUGACCUAUAGUUGUUAAUGUCUGUGUCAUUUUGGUCUUUUGUGGAUAGUUGUCUCAUUGGCAAUCAUACCACAUCUUCUUUUUUAUAUGAAUCCAAAAGCCUGCCAUGAACUCAGGUUCUCUGGAA
RNAcentral lists this long non-coding RNA (298 nucleotides) under Mytilus galloprovincialis (Mediterranean mussel). The record is from RNAcentral. Lineage: Eukaryota; Metazoa; Mollusca; Bivalvia; Mytilida; Mytilidae.